UUAUUUUAUUGCUGAUAUCUAUUUGUACUAUUAAAUAAACGAUAAAAAUGUUGCAAAUCACUACUGCCGAUAUGAAAAUUUCCGAAAGAAUCCUUCUUUUCUUGGUUCCAUUUUUCAUUGGCAGGUGUCGCUACCGGUAAAUCAGCUUUGCGACAAUGCGUCAAUUGCUGCCAGCAAGACAUACUUGCUGGCUGAAGAUUUUUUUCAGAUUUACGGAUUUUGGCAACCCUGUUUGCAGAUAUUUGAAAUUUUCACCUGGCAUCUCUGUUCGUUUUGAAUGCGAAGCUUCCAUUUCCGUCGUAGAUUCUGAGCUUGAAACGUGUGUCGCUAAAUUUUCCGGUGUUUUAUUCUACAGCGUCCAUCAUUGAAAACAUGCAGCCGUUCAAUUAUUGUCCAUCUUGUGGUUACCAUAUUGGUCCAUACGUUACCAAAGCGCAUCAUUAUCAGAGAGGUCGUGGCCGUGGUGGUCGCCGUGACCGCUGGCAUGCUUCAUCAAAUCCUCUUCCAGCACCGGUGGCUUUUGAAUCACCGGUAUCGAUUGAUGAACCAUCAUCCACGGCCAAGAAGGAGGUAAUUUCGGAAAUGUAUUCGAAAUAAGGAGAAUGUGUACAUCUUCGUUGUGCCUAACGAAUGAGUGAAUAAAUUCAUUGAAAUAAA
Malaya genurostris is the source of this 657-nucleotide long non-coding RNA. RefSeq lists it as uncharacterized. NCBI's taxonomy places the organism in Eukaryota, Metazoa, Arthropoda, Insecta, Diptera, Culicidae. The record is from RefSeq and is a predicted model, not a curated record. The transcript is spliced from 2 exons.